UUGAAAUUAAAAGCUGGCCAAGCUCAAACUAAGCCUAGCUGGCUUAGGGUUUAGUGGAAGUUCCUUUCCCCAAUAAAUAUUGCAGAGGCAGCCAAUCAGUUAGUGUACUUAUUGAACUGCUUUUGGAUUCCUAUCAUAGUGGCACGAGGGCUGUGAGAACAAGUUUGUUAAAAUGUGGCAGGGUGCAGCCAGACGUUCUUCAUUGUUGGUGAAAGGUGGGUUUUAAUUUUACUGGAGCUGGUGGUUCCAGUGUGGAUUGCCGGGCAAUGCUUUCUUGAAUUUGGAGGAUUGGCGUGCUUAAAUCCAAAGAGUUUAGGGUGGAGACUGACCAGCGCUUCAGCAAGUCAGGGCAGACUUCCGAGGAAUAUAAACAAGCUGAUUGGUUUGCCUGCUCCUUUUGGACUACAGUGUUUUUGUUGAUACUACUUCAGUGCCAGGUCAUGCAAGCAUUUUAUUUGAUAGCUUCUUCAUGUGCUUAUAGACUCAAUGCAUUGUACUUGACAAUAGAAGCAUUGUUUUUUUUUUUUUUUGGGAAAUUUGG
This is a long non-coding RNA of Dendrobium catenatum, 541 nucleotides long. RefSeq lists it as uncharacterized. The record is from RefSeq and is a predicted model, not a curated record. NCBI's taxonomy places the organism in Eukaryota, Viridiplantae, Streptophyta, Magnoliopsida, Asparagales, Orchidaceae. The transcript is spliced from 3 exons.